This 470-nucleotide ribosomal RNA is filed under the name Daphnia pulex (common water flea). Its description in RNAcentral is "eukaryotic LSU rRNA". The stretch from base 1 to 223 matches the Rfam family "Eukaryotic large subunit ribosomal RNA", at positions 2961 to 3401 of the family's 3401-position model. RNAcentral also lists the same sequence under 1 other name. Lineage: Eukaryota; Metazoa; Arthropoda; Branchiopoda; Diplostraca; Daphniidae. The record is from RNAcentral.
GUUUAGACCGUCGUGAGACAGGUUAGUUUUACCCUACUGACGACCAUAGAAGAAAUGUUAUUGCGAUAGUAAUCCUGCGAAGUACGAGAGGAACCGCAGGUUCGGACAGUUGGUUGGCGCACUUGGUCGAGCGGCCAGUGGUGCGAGGCUACGUCCGGAUGAUUAUACCUGAAGGCCUCUGAAGGUAGAAUCGAUGCUGGAGGAAGGCAAUGAUACGCAGCGUCUUUUGACUCGUUUCGACGUUUUAUCUGGGUGGCUAUAACGAGACCCGUCUCGGUUAGAGAUUAAAACUCGCUCCAUCAGCGAGGGGGUUCCGGCCUUUUCGUUUCGUUUCGGACGAAUGCCUGGUCGGCGCUUCAUUCUCGAGCCGCGGUUUUCAGAGGGGAGGUUCGCUGACGGCUAUGCUGGGUAUCCGCUACGGGAAUGCCAGUCAUGCUCCGGUUCGCCUCUUUCUUUUUACCCGACUAAAG